GCGGCGGACGGGUGAGUAAUGCCUAGGAAUCUGCCUGGUAGUGGGGGACAACGUCUCGAAAGGGACGCUAAUACCGCAUACGUUCUACGGGAGAAAGCAGGGGACCUUCGGGCCUUGCACUAUCAGAUGAGCCUAGGUCGGAUUAGCUAGUUGGUGAGGUAAUGGCUCACCAAGGCGACGAUCCGUAACUGGUCUGAGAGGAUGAUCAGUCACACUGGAACUGAGACACGGUCCAGACUCCUACGGGAGGCAGCAGUGGGGAAUAUUGGACAAUGGGCGAAAGCCUGAUCCAGCCAUGCCGCGUGUGUGAAGAAGGUCUUCGGAUUGUAAAGCACUUUAAGUUGGGAGGAAGGGCAGUAAACGAAUACCUUGCUGUUUUGACGUUACCGACAGAAUAAGCACCGGCUAACUCUGUGCCAGCAGCCGCGGUAAUACAGAGGGUGCAAGCGUUAAUCGGAAUUACUGGGCGUAGAGCGCGCGUAGGUGGUUUGUUAAGUUGAAUGUGAAAUCCCCGGGCUCAACCUGGGAACUGCAUCCAAAACUGGCAAGCUAGAGUAGGGCAGAGGGUGGUGGAAUUUCCUGUGUAGCGGUGAAAUGCGUAGAUAUAGGAAGGAACACCAGUGGCGAAGGCGACCACCUG
This 640-nucleotide ribosomal RNA is filed under the name uncultured Pseudomonas sp. Its description in RNAcentral is "bacterial SSU rRNA". It matches the Rfam family "Bacterial small subunit ribosomal RNA", at positions 95 to 731 of the family's 1533-position model. The record is from RNAcentral. Lineage: Bacteria; Pseudomonadati; Pseudomonadota; Gammaproteobacteria; Pseudomonadales; Pseudomonadaceae.